This 1319-nucleotide ribosomal RNA is filed under the name Creobroter sp. JZ-2017. RNAcentral's name for it is "16S ribosomal RNA". The stretch from base 615 to 1319 matches the Rfam family "Archaeal large subunit ribosomal RNA", at positions 1423 to 2859 of the family's 2987-position model. Lineage: Eukaryota; Metazoa; Arthropoda; Insecta; Mantodea; Hymenopodidae. The record is from RNAcentral.
AAUUAAUAAUAUUGUUUUAUUAAAAAGUAUUUAUAAGAUAUAAAUUAAGUAAAUUAGGGUUAUUGUAAUAUGAAUUGAUUUAAUUUUAUUUACUAUAGAGUAUAGUACUGUGAAGGAAGUUUAAAGUAUAUGUUAUAAUUAUGAAAAAGUGAUUUAAUUUAUUUUAUCUUGUGUAUCAGAGUAUAUUUAAAUGAAUUAUAAAUUUUGUUUUUCUCGAAUUUUAAAGAUUUAAUGUAGUAAUUUAGUUAUUGUAUUAAAAAUAUUAAAAAUGUUAUAUUGGGAAUGAAAUGUUAAUCGUUUUAUAGGAUAUCUAGUUUUUUAAUAAAUGGAUUUAAUUCAAGGGAUGUAAAUUUAUUUAAUUUAUGGUUAUUUAAAUAUUUAAUGUUUCUAAUUUUAAAAGGGAUUAGCUUUUUAAAAGAUUAAUUAUAAUAAAGUUAUUUAAUAAGGAUUUUAUGAAUUUAGAAUUUGUUAAUAAUUUAAGGAUGUUAAAAUUUAAUUCUUUUUUUUGUUAAUUUUUAAUUUUUAUUUAAUUUAUGUAUUAAAAUAUUAAAUUGAAUUUAUAAGUUUUUAAAAUAAUGAUUUAAUUAGUAAAAAUAUUUAUGUGAAAUGAAUUUUGUUUUUAAUGUAAUUAUAAAGAAUUAGGCAAAUAUUUCACUCACCUGUUUAUUAAAAACAUGGUUUCUUGAAGGUAUAUAAGAAAUCUAGUCUGCCCACUGAAUAAUUUUAUUUGAAGGGCCGCGGUAUAUUGACUGUGCGAAGGUAGCAUAAUCAUUAGUCUUUUAAUUGAAGGCUUGUAUGAAUGGCUGGAUGAGGUGAAUACUGUUUUAUAAAUAUUUUUAGUUGAAUUUAGAUUUUAAGUAAAAAUACUUAAGUAAUAUUAAGGGACGAGAAGACCCUAUAGAGUUUAAUAAGUGUAGUAAUUGAUUUAAGUUAAGAAUUAAUUUAUAGUUAAUACAAAAUUUAUUUAAUUGGGGAGAUUUAAAGAUAAAUGGAACUCUUUAUAAAAUUUAAUAUUAUAAUUAGUUUUUUGAUCCAUAGAUAAUGAUUAAAAGAUUAAAUUACCUUAGGGAUAACAGCAUAAUUUCUUUUGAGAGUUCAUAUCGAAAAAGAAGAUUGUGACCUCGAUGUUGGAUUAAGAUUAGUUUUGAGGUGUAGAUGUUUAUAAACUAGGUCUGUUCGACCUUUAAAAUCUUACAUGAUCUGAGUUUAAACCGGCGUGAGCCAGGUUGGUUUCUAUCUUUAAUUCUUUUUAAUAUUUUAGUACGAAAGGACCAAAUAUUUAAAAUAAUUUUUAAAUAAUGAAUUUUAUUAAUGUUAAA